CUGUCUCCGGCGACUGGAGAGGGCAUUGGCCAGGAGAAGUGAGACGUGGACAAAAGGCGGGACUGGGAAGGGAUCUCUCGCUUCGACCCGCCUCCGACCCGCGGAGUUGCCCCCUGAGGACUACCAGUCCCAGUGUGCACUGCUUCUUCCCCGGCUCUCCCGCGAGCCGACUCGGAGCCGUGUCUCUCGCUUCUACCCGGGGUAGGCGCGCUGCACCCUGGGACUUGCGGUCCUCCGAGGUCGCCAGUGGUUGCUGGGAUCCCACCUCCCCCUUUCCUCGGCGCCCUACAGUCAACCCUGUCUCGGUGGGCUGCGGAGUCCCGGGAAACCCGUCAGCUGUUUAUCUCUCUUCCUCAGAAAGUUGUUUCCCAGAGAGCUGGCUGAAUGAGGCGCACUGUCCCCAUGUCAGUGCUGCUGCGUUAGGGAAUAGUGUUGGAGUAGUCGUCUACCCUCAGGGAAAUUCCAAAACACAGUAACAGCAAAAUGAAUUGAGCCUUUGAAGGCAUUGCGCUAAGGUUUUUACUCGCAAUCAUCUCAUGCACUCUUCUCAACUCUGAUAGAAUCUGCAAUCCAACAUUGGUUUCAUCCUGGAUCCUCUUUGGCAGCCUUGGUAAUGAAGUUAGCUAAAUCAAUACAUGAAAUGAAAGAGGAGAAGACAGACAUAGAAGACUAGGCCACAUGAAGACUAAGGCAGAGAUUGGAUUUAUGCAGCUACAUACAAGGAAAGCCUACAGCCACCAGAAUCUGGAAGAGAUAAGGAAGGAUUUGCCACUAAAGCAUUCAGAAGGUGCACGGCCCUGCUGACAUCUUGAUUUUGGACUUUUUUGGGGACCGGGUAGCCAUUAUCCUUCUUCUUGAUAUCCAGGUUCAACUGAAGGCAUAAAAUGUCAAGUUCCUCAGCUCAAAAUCAAAAUCUCUACUCUGCCACUAUCUUGGUAAUUUAAGCAAAUUAUUCUGCCUCUUUUGGUCUAAGUUUAGUCAUUUGUAAUAUUAAAGUGGUAAAUUAGAUCAGAAGAUCCCAAAAUGACAUUUUGAGAAAUUCUGUUUUGAAGGAUAUGAAUGGGUGUGCCCUAUA
This 1075-nucleotide long non-coding RNA is filed under the name Homo sapiens (human). RNAcentral's name for it is "HSALNT0296982". The record is from RNAcentral. Lineage: Eukaryota; Metazoa; Chordata; Mammalia; Primates; Hominidae.